GAUUUCUGGUAGUGCGCACCCAGGCGACGGGAGCAAUCCCGCCUGUCCUGGUGUUCUGUGCAUGCCAUCCUGCACGCUACCUCCACGUAUCUUAACUGUACGGGGAGUGUACGUGCUCUUUUACUUUGAAAAAAUUAGAGUGUUUAAAGCAGGUGUUGCGCCUUGAAUACAUUAGCAUGGAAUAAUAAUUUAGGACUUCUUCCUAUUUGUUGGUUUCCCUUUAGGAUUGAAGUAAUGAUUGAUAGGGAUAGUUGGGGGUGCUAGUAUUCAUCGGCCAGAGGUGAAAUUCUUGGAUUCGAUGAAGACUAACUAAUGCGAAAGCAUU
Molecule: ribosomal RNA, 325 nt
Filed under: uncultured Paracercomonas
Lineage: Eukaryota; Cercozoa; Cercomonadida; Cercomonadidae
Description: SSU rRNA
Rfam family: Eukaryotic small subunit ribosomal RNA (bases 77-325)
Source: RNAcentral